Molecule: long non-coding RNA, 719 nt
Filed under: Capsicum annuum
Lineage: Eukaryota; Viridiplantae; Streptophyta; Magnoliopsida; Solanales; Solanaceae
Description: long non-coding RNA (CANN_LNC003907)
Source: RNAcentral
UAGGGGACUAGUUUUAGACCCAAGAUUUGAGGCUUUGUGUGGAGGAAGGCUGUUACAAGAGCUGGAAAUUUCAUUCCUUUCUGCCAAAAUUUUCUUCCUAAUUGAAGCUUUGGAAGAUGCAGAUAUGGUGGGUGACAUGAAAUUCUUGGUCAUGGGUUUCUGCUUUUGUGGCUUCUCAUUUUCAUUCGUUUCUCUUGAACCUGCUAGUAGAAAAAAGAAUCGCUAUCAACAAUAUAUGAUGAAUACACAGCUAAUAUAAAUUCUUGUAUUACAAUAGUUUCUUUCAAUAAUCAUAUCUUAUUCUUUCACAGUGAAUACAAGAUAUUAUGGGGGCUAAGCCUUUCCAAAUAUGAUAAUAAGUUUGACAAAGGCAUCAAACAACAACAAGAACAAUAAUAUUCCCAAUGUUAUCCGAUUGGGGUCUAAGGAGUGUAUAGUAUGCACAGACCUUAGCUCUACAUCGUGGAGGUAGAAAGCACAUCAACAACAACAACAUACCAAGUCAAAUCCCAUGAGUGAGGUCAGAGGAGGGUAAAGUGUACACAGAUCUUACCACUAAAAACCUUACCACAAAGUGUGGGCUUAGGGAGGGUUGUUUCUGAAAGACCCUCGGGCUCAAGUGCAGCAAAUCCAGAUACAUACAUACUAUACAUGACCCUCGGAAGGAAACAAUGAGGAAAAUAUAGCAACAAACAAGGAGCAGUGCAAAGUCUAGGAAA